This 24-nucleotide non-coding RNA is filed under the name Cricetulus griseus (Chinese hamster). The record is from RNAcentral. Lineage: Eukaryota; Metazoa; Chordata; Mammalia; Rodentia; Cricetidae.
GGAAGUGGAAAGUUGGAAGACAGA